ACGCUCGACACCUACGGGAGGCGGCAGUGGGGAAUAUUGCACAAUGGGGGAAACCCGUGAUGCAGCGACGCCGCGUGGAGGAAGAAGGUCUUCGGAUUGUAAACUCCUGUUGUUGGGGAAAAAGAGGAUGGUACCCAACAAGGAAGUGACGGCUAACUACGUGCCACAGCCGCGGUAAUCUGAGCGGGCGUGGCAAGGC
This 199-nucleotide ribosomal RNA is filed under the name uncultured bacterium. RNAcentral's name for it is "partial 16S ribosomal RNA". It matches the Rfam family "Bacterial small subunit ribosomal RNA", at positions 328 to 544 of the family's 1533-position model. The record is from RNAcentral.